Molecule: long non-coding RNA, 231 nt
Filed under: Lathyrus oleraceus (garden pea)
Lineage: Eukaryota; Viridiplantae; Streptophyta; Magnoliopsida; Fabales; Fabaceae
Description: Pisum sativum (pea) long non-coding RNA (PSAT_LNC007053)
Source: RNAcentral
AGUGUAGAAGACUCGAAUAAAUCGUUUUAGUUUCAAAUUUUAGAAACUAAUUAGUUUUGGGCCGGUUUUUAUGUUUUUCAACCCGGUUGGGAUUAGAACCCUAAUUCCUUGUUUCCUUUAACCUAAGUCAGCGGUGGUACUGUUCACUAUUCCUAUUCACUAUUCACGAAAAUUAGUUUUGAUUUGUUCGAUUCAUGUAGAACUAAUCCCUAAGGAAAAUUCUACUGAUUU